RNAcentral lists this ribosomal RNA (447 nucleotides) under Petrolisthes lewisi austrinsus. Its description in RNAcentral is "partial 16S large subunit ribosomal RNA". It matches the Rfam family "Bacterial large subunit ribosomal RNA", at positions 1852 to 2548 of the family's 2925-position model. The record is from RNAcentral. Lineage: Eukaryota; Metazoa; Arthropoda; Malacostraca; Decapoda; Porcellanidae.
GUCUAUUCUGCCCAUUGAGAAGAUUCUUAAAAGGCCGCAGUAUACUAACUGUGCAAAGGUAGCAUAAUCAGUAGUUUUUUAAUUGGAGGCUUGUAUGAAUGAUUGGAUAAGAAUUAAACUGUCUUUUCUUAGAAAAUUGAAUUUUAUUUUUGAGUGAAAAAGCUCAAAUGAAUCAGAGGGACGAUAAGACCCUAUAAAUCUUUAUGUAAUUAUUCUUAUUUAAUUAUAUAUAAUAUUUGUUAAGUUAUUAAUAAGAAUAAGUUCAUUAUGCUGGGGCGGUAGAAAUAUAAAAAAACUAUUUAAAUAAAAUAACAAAUAUAUUUGUAAGUAGAAGAUCUUAGUUAUGGAAUUAAAAAAUAAGUUACUUUAGGGAUAACAGCAUAAUUUCUUUUGAGAGUCCAAAUCGAAAAAGAAGUUUGUGACCUCGAUGUUGAAUUAAGAAUUCCU